AAAACCCCUGUAGAUGGCUGGCUGCUAGGUGACUCAGGAUAUCCAAGUCGUUCAUGGCUCUUGACGCCCAUUCUAGAGGCACACACACGCCCAGAAGAGCGAUACAAUAGUUGUCACUGCAGAACAAGAAAUGUAGUAGAAAGGGCCUUUGGCGUUUUAAAAUCAAGAUUCAGAUGUCUACACAAGAGCACUGGCUGCCUUCCCUUCACCCCAGCAAAAAGCUCCAAAAUUAUAAUGGCCUGCUUCAAGCUGCACAAUUUUU
Molecule: long non-coding RNA, 262 nt
Organism: Haliotis rubra (blacklip abalone)
Lineage: Eukaryota; Metazoa; Mollusca; Gastropoda; Lepetellida; Haliotidae
Exons: 3
Source: RefSeq, a predicted model, not a curated record